AUCCUAUUUGGUUUGUAAAUGUGACUAUUGGGUGUGUAUGCUAUUGUGUGAGAUGUACCUCCCUCCUGAAUCUUGUUAAGAUGUCAACACCUCACCUGUCUGAUG
Sciurus vulgaris (Eurasian red squirrel) is the source of this 105-nucleotide small nucleolar RNA. The record is from Ensembl. NCBI's taxonomy places the organism in Eukaryota, Metazoa, Chordata, Mammalia, Rodentia, Sciuridae.